CUUGUUGAUUUGGUGGUCAGCCAAUCAUCUUUGUGUGUCGUUUGGUGGUUAACCAACACACUACAUUUGUUCUUAGGUGGUUAGCCUUAGAUCGUGGGUAUAUCAAGAGCCAUUCCGCAUCUCUUGACGAUCCUUUCAAUCCAUCUCAGUUCCAGAAGUGCCGUUUGCCUUCUCGGAUCAUAUCCAACACCCAGCUAAAGUGAUCCUCCCUAUCUUAGGGUUCUAUCAGUUGGUAUCAGAGCCACUUUGGCUGGUUUGUUUUCAUUUCAUCUUUUCAUCUUCUCAUCUCUCCACGAUUUUAUUUUCUUAUUUCUUGUUGGAUCCGGGCUGUUCCUUUACUCCCUUGUGAUCGCCAGUUAUUAAAAAAAAAAAAGAGAAAAAAAAAUUGAUCAAAAAAAAAAAAAGAGUGAAAGUUUUGGCUUGAAUCACUUCUGAAGAGAAAUCCAGGGGGAGUGGUGGAAGAGAAACCCUGCUGGCUGAAGAGAAACCCAGCCUUAGGACAGUUAAGGCGGAUCCACACAAAAAUCUCUUCAUUGUUCUUUCUCUUUUCUUUUCUCACAAAGUUUGUUUUGGGUUUUGACUGCUGAUUUUUUACUGCCUAUCAUCCUUUGAACCAGUGAAAGAACUCUGAGUGACCAUCUAAAAAUCGUGAGCUAAACACUUGAGAGUGUGAGGAUUUUUAUUUGCUAACUUUGUUAAGUGUUUUCAGGAUGUUUGGACUUCUCAAGAAAUCAAAACCACAACAAGACGUCUACUUUCCUUUUAAAACUGUUUUCAAAAAGGAGCAAUUGAUUUUUGAUAAGAAACAGUUUGCUUCUAAUGGGUUUGACUUUGUGCAGAAACAAAAGAAGAGACAAAACAGGUGCGAUGAUGAGAAGUGGGUCAGAAGUGGUGAUCGUCCCUUCACCAAAGCCAAGAGAAGCAACUGUGAUGUGCCUGAUCAGAACGAGCUUCAGACUUAUGCCAGCUUGGAAAAGAUGUUGCAUAAAGCGAUUCAUGUUGUCCGACAACUCAAAAAGAAGGGAAACAACAACACUUCUUCUGCACCAAAACAUCAAAGUAAUUUUUCUUCUCUUUCAAAUUCUGAUUUGAAAACUAAUGUGUUGUCUUCUGAUAAAAGCAAAGCUGUGAAACCCACAAGCAAAGCUCAUUCUACCAGGUGCUUCAAAUGCCAUAGGAUUGGUCAUUAUGCUAACAAGUGCCAAAACCAGAAACCAUUGGUGACUUUGGAGAAUGAGAACGUUGAAACCGAGCCAGAAAAGGAAGAUCCAUUGCCAAUUUUCGAUGACUUCACAUAUGAUCCAAUGGAGGGGUUAGAUGAAAAAAAAAUUCUUGGUCAUCAAGCAAACCAAGAAAGAUCUUCUUCCAUUCAAAAACCGGACCAAACUCAAGGUGAGCAAUAUUCUGAUUAUGGUUCUUUUGCUUAUAAUCCUUUUCCUUUUAAUGUUUCAGAUUUGAGGACAAAUCUUUUUGAAGAGGAAGGGAAUGAUGUGCCGCAGUCCACGGAUCAUUACAUGGAACCAGCUCAGCAUGGAGUUCAAGACGUUCUGAACAUUUCAACCGAAGUUCAUGUUUUUCACCGUACCAGACUUGACUUGGGUCGAGCCAGACUUAGCUUGGAUGGUGAAGAAACCAAAGACGGACAUGCAUUCUUAUCCGGCGGACCAUCCGGACAGUCCCGCAAGCGUCCUUAUCUUUACCCCGUGCAUCCAUAUGGUUCGGAUGAAUCUGGACAUCUUGACUGGUCUUCUCCAUUUUCCGUGCCUUGACCAGAUCUAGUCUUCUCCAUUUUCCGUGCCUUGACUAGAUCUAGUCAAAUUUAUAUUUUUAUGCAUUGUUUUCCCACAUUUCUUUAAUUGUCUUUGACUACAAAACACUAUAAAUAUGUAGUCCCUUUGAUGAAUAAAAUCAGUUCAUUUGGUUGUUUAUUUCGUUUCUUCUCUGAGUGAGAGAGAGAGAGUUCUUAGCUAGUUCAUCGGUUUGAACCGGCUUGUUGAUUUGGUGGUCAGCCAAUCAUCUUUGUGUGUCGUUUGGUGGUUAGCCAACACACUACAUUCGUUCUUAGGUGGUUAGCCUUAGAUCGUGGGUAUAUCAAGAGCCAUUCCGCAUCUCUUGACGAUCCUUUCAAUCCAUCUCAGUUCCAGAAGCGCCAUUUGCUUCUCGGUUCAUAUCCAACACCCAGCUAAAGUGAUCCUUCCCGAUUUUGGUUCUAUCAGGAAGGGCCAGUGUGCUGAGUCCAAGGACCAACGUGCUGAUAUGUGUACUGAUGGACAGCCACAGACGUCUUGUGUGUGCUGACGGACACAGACGGAUACACACGGACACACACGGAAAGCCACAGACGUCCUGUGUGUGCUGGCGGACACCCACAGACGUCCUGUGUGUGCUGGCGGACACCCACGGACGUCCUGUGUGUACUGAACAGACAGCCCACGUGGGCCAAAAUCACCCGAACAGUUCACGGGAAGGGUCAGCGUGCGGAAUCCAAGGACCAACGUGCUGAUAUGUGUACUGAUGGACAGCCAUUGACGUCCUGUUUGCUGACGGACAGACACGGACACACACGGACAGCCACGAACGUGCUGUGUGUGCUGACGGACACACACGGACAGCUACGGACGUCCUGUGUGUGCUGACGGACAGCCACAGGACAGCCACGGACGUCCUGUGUGUGCUGGCGGAUACCCACGGACGUCCUGUGUGUACUGAACAGACAGCCCACGUGGGCCAAAAUCACCCGAACAGUCCACAGGAAGGGUCAGCGUGCUGAGUCCAAGGACCAACGUGCUGAUAUGUGUAAUGAUUGACAGCCACGGACGUCCUGUGUCUGCUGACGGACGCACUCGGACACACACGAACAGCCACAGACGUCCUGUGUGUGCUGGCGGACACCCACAGACGUCCUGUAUGUACUGAACAGACAGCCCACGUGGGCCAAAAUCACACAAACAGUCCACGGGAAGGGCCAGUGUGCUGAGUCCAAGGAACAACGUGCUGAUAUGUGUACUGAUGGACAGCCACAGACGUCUUGUGUGUGCUGACGGACACAGACGGACACACACGGAAAGCCACAGAUGUCCUGUGUGUGCUGGCGGACACCCACGGACGUCCUGUGUGUGCUGGUGGACACCCACGGACGUCCUGUGUGAUAGAACCCAGGACCUGGACCAGGGCGUGGAGCAGACUCAGCAUGGUGACCAGGACGAUCAGAUCAGUCCAACUGAGGUUCAGCCAUUUAGCCGUUCCAGAUCAACGGACAGAGCCGUGUACCGGAUCGACCCGCGUGCACCCGGACGUGACCUAAGGAUGGAUCCACGACCUGUUGACCAAAUCAGCCAAACCACAGGCGUUCUUCCCCGACCCAUUCGCCAUUCUAGAGCCAACAGUCAAGCCAGAACCCAUGAUCAUCGAGAAGAAUCAGAUUCCAGACUUAGCCUGUCUUUCCUGGCCCGUUUGGGACGUACCGCACGCCCGGAUCAGGCUGAUCACGACCUUUCCAACCACUUUGAUGAUUUCAUGAUGAUCAAUGCUUCCAACUACUCCAAAGGAAGGAUACUUAAGCUCUCUGAAGAUUUGGGUCGAGCUAUCUCUUCAUCCGUUCAUGGAUCAUCGACGAUCAAUCAUGCGGGCAGCCUUACGUCCGUCCUGCUCCUUACCGCGAACGACCUAAUCACCAGAGGAUGAACCUGGACGUCUUUGUGAAUCUGGACCAGUCAACACAAGAAUCCGCACCUUGACCAGUCUUUAGUCAAAGUCUUCAUUUCUAAUUUCUAUGUCUUGUUUUCAUUCAUCUAUUUUCUAUGUUGUCUUUUCCCACAAAUGUCUUUAUGUUUCUUUGACUCACAAACCUUAUAAGUAUGUGAUGAUCCCCUUAAUAAAAACACAUCGAUUUUCCUUGCUUAUUUUGAGUCUUCUCUCAUUGUUCUUUGCUUAGAACAUUCAUACUUCUCUUGGUGAGGUCAUCUCCAAGCGAACCACUUCGUUGUGUUGGACCGGUGCGUCACAUCCGGCAACCUUCGAAUCUUUGGUAGUAUCUUUGGGCUAUUCCGCAACCCUUAGUGUCACCGUUCAUACCAUCAGUUCUCUUUCCUUACGGAUCGAGUUCAUAUCCCCCUUACCGGUUGAGUGUUCGUUCCUUAGGGUUCUUCAAGUGGUAUCAGAGCCACUCUUCCGGUAUUGUCUAUUUCAUUCAUCUUUCUCAUCUUCCAUUUUCUUAUAAAAACUUCUUCUUCUACCUUUCUUAAAUCCGGGCCCCUCAUUACCAUCCACCAUAUCAAAAAAAAAAAAAGAUCUAAUCAAAAAAAAAAAAAAAGAUCUACAUAAAAAAAAAAAAAAAAAAUCGAAAGUUUCAUUUGGGGAUUGGUGGUGGAAGAGAAAGCCUGCUGGCUGAGGAGAAAUCCAGCCUUUGAGGUGGUUAAAACGGAUUUCAAAAAUCAAAAUCUCUUAUCUUUCUAUCUUGAGAAAAUUCCCUUGUUUGCUUGGAUUUGCCUAUUGGGAUUCUUUGAUUUGUUCUCUUAGAACAUUGAGUAGAAACUUGUGUGUGAUCACCUAAAUCUGAGAGAAACACUUGAGUGGGUGAGAAUAAAACACUUGAGAGAGUGAGGCUUUAUUUCCUAACUUUUGUGUUGAGAUUUUCAGGUUAUGAUGUUUGGUCUUCAAAGGAAAAGUAACAAGGAGAAGCACCCACGACUUUCUGUCUCUCAAACCUCCUUUAACUAUGCUUUGAAUACUUUUGAUGAGUUUGUUGAUGUGCAGGAGAAACCAAACAGGUGGAGCAAAGAGCAUGUCAAUACAUCCAAAGGUGAAUCUGAUCCAAGAAGGCGAUUGCUUCAGUUUGAUGUCCAACAAUUUGUGAUAACUUUGUGAAGGGUGUGGACAAAGCCCUCAAGGACGUCAGCAAGAGCCAAAAGAAGAGCACAUCCACACGUGCCCCAGUAGCUGAGCCAUCCUUGUUCAUCAGUAAGAAAGCCCAAGGUGAAUCUGAAAACCAUUUUGAAGAACUUAAAGAUUUUUCAGAUUCUCUACCCAUUUUUGAUGAAUCUGAUGAAGAGCUAAUUGAAAGCUUGAUGUUUUGUGAAAAAGAUUGUGAUCUUCCUUCUCUUGAAACUGAGUUUAAUCUUGAUAAUGAACAAGCUAUUGUAGAACUAACUGUUUUGCAACCGGAGCUUCCGAGUAGUCUUGUUUUGUCUCCACAGGUUUUUGAGGAAGAGCCACUGGAUUUUCCACAUCAGUGCCCAUGUCUUGACACUAGGAAAUGUUUAGAUGAUGAUCUAGGUCCUAUCUUUGAUGAGGAGGACGAACCUGAUCCAGUCUUUGAUGAAGAAGCAACAAGCAUCACAUCCAUUGCUAUGGAGAAUUAUCUAUGCUUUGAUCCCGGCACAACUCCUGCCCCUUUACCUCCUGAUCUUCAAGAGCACUGUGAGGAACCUUCUUCUCUUUAUUCUCUGCCUGACAUGUUUGUGAAAGUCAGUACUGAUGAUAUAAUUCGUUUUGGUCUUGACAAGAUAAAAGAUUUUUGUGUUUCAAAAUCUGUUUUUGAUAACAUGAUUAAUUCUUUAAAAAUCUUUCAACCUGAUAAAUGUCUUGAUCAAUCAUGUUUUCAAAAUGUCAAUGCCAUCACUUCUGGAAUUAUUUGAGCUUUGAUCAGUUCGUGGAACAUAACAAAGGUUUUCAUCUUCUUGGAAGGCCAUUUGAUCUUGAUUUGCAACAAACUGAUUUUUGUGCUGAAAAAUCUCUUGAUUCGUUUGUUUGCAAAGGAAAUGGCUUUGAUCUGAGUUCUUCUAGACAUGUACUGAUUACUGAUAAAUUGUUUGCAUCCUCUUAUGCCUUGGACGAAAUUUUGAUUCAGAAGUUGCUGGAACAGAAAUCACUUGAAACUAAAAAUGAUUUUCGUGAUCUUGAAUUUUGUGGUUCUGUUUUGCAGCCUGAUCUCUUGAGUUUUGAAACUGAUAAUACUUGGCAUUUUCUGAGAUCAUUUCGUGAUAAUAGUGUUGUCUUGAGUUCUGAUGAUAUUUUGGUUUACAACACAUUCUUUGAGAAAUGCCUUGAACUUUUGAUAAAUGAUUCUCAAACUGAACUUAAGCUUGUGUGUUCAGAUGUUGGGAAGGAUAUGCCCAUUUUGAAAAUGAAUACUGUUGUUGCAUAUCUUGAUAAAAUUCUUGUCUGUAAUAUUUACUUUGAUGAGCACCUUGAAAGGCUGAAAAAUGUGCAAUUUGUUCUUGGAAAAGAUAUCUUGAUUUGUGAUUUGAACAAAUAUUUAUCUUGCACAUUUGAUCCUGGUCUUUUAGUGUUUGUUUUGAGUAUCCAGGAAAGACAAGUUCAGCCUCUGAAUGAAAGCAUUGGCCGUGCCCAACAACCUCAGAUUUGGAGAAGCUUUGUUGUUCAAACCGGCUACCUUGGUGCCAGCGACAGAGGUUCAGUCCAAGAAUGAUAUCUCAACAGUCCGAAGGUCUUUUGUCUUGAAUCCAAUUUUACAAGAAAGCCAACUCAUCAAGGAUUCACUGAGGCUUGGAAUCGCAUGAAAAUCUUCACGGAUGAAGAAGUUAUGAAUUUUCCAAACCGGAGGUUCUUCAGUCCAUCUAUGCGUGAGUACCAGAUUUCUAAAAGAGAUUCAUGCCCCAGAAAGAAUCGGCCUGAGCCAAAACCGAUCCUCCAUGAACCAAAGGUGUUUCCUCAGUCAUCCUCCUGUCUAAACCAAAAGCACUGUAAGGAUCAUGAGUUGAUUGCCUCUACUCUUCAUGAAAAUGUUUUGAAACCGAGAAUUUCAAAAAGAAAACAUAUUCUUACUUGGUUGAAAAACGUUUUGCUCAAACCUUUUCAUGAAUUGAUUUCAUUGAGCUGUGCUUUGAAAGAGAUUUGGUGCAGGAAAAAGCAUGAACUAAAAUUGUUUAGGCCAAAGAAUUCUUUUGAUUUCGUUCAUGAUGAUAAUUUUUCAAAUUUGGCAUUGUCUCUUUCUUUCCAUAACAGUUUCUCCCCUUGGCCUGAUUUUGAGAUUGAUAAAUCAAUUUUUUGCAACCAGCUUACUUGCUUGAUGCUUGCCCACGUCCUUGAUGAUUAUCCUAAGGGCUUGGAUCCUGAUUUUGAUGUCUUAAGGAUAGAGAAACCCUUUGAUUAUUUCUUUGGCAGAUUUGAUGUGGUUUCUCUAGUUGCUUUGAAUAAACAGGAUAAGCAUGAUCAGUUUCUAAGGAGAGCAAGCACCAAUGGUCGCCAAAGUACUUGGAAUUCCUUGAUGAAAAUGACUUCAAAACUCCAUGGAAGUUUCUGUCCAUAUUUUUCAUUCCCUGAAUUUUCCAUGAAUUAUAAUUCCUUUGUAUCUGAUUCAUCUCUUUUUGAUAUAGGUACUUUGGAUUUGAGGACAAAUCCUUUUGAAGAAGGAGGGAAUGAUAGACCGCGGUCCACGGAUCAGUACAUGGAGCCGAACCAGCAUGAAGAUCAGGACGUUCUGAAGUUUUCAACCGAGGUUCAUGAUUUUCACCAUACUGGCCAGACUGACCGGACUGUCCCAAAUGCAUCCGGAUGGGAGCUUAGGCUGGAACCAUGGCCAGAUGAUCGAUUUCACUGUACUGGACUUUGUCUUCACCGUCCUGUUUUCCAUUUUAUGAAGAACAGUCGAGACGGAAUCGCAUUCGGACGCACGAAUCCUGAGUUAGGUCAUUGCUAUACAUUUCUGGACAGUACCGCAUGUACCGCCCGGAUGUCCAGUUUGAGGCUUCAUCAAUACCCAUGUCCAGACGAUCGAAUUCACCGAACUGGAGCUCGUAUUUCCCGUACUGAUUGGCAUUUUAAGAGCAACGGUCAAGACAGAUUUGGAUUCGGACGAGUGGAACUCAAGAUAGGCCAUGACACUUCAAAACUGGCUACUUUGGACUGUCCUGCUUGUGUACUGGCCCAGUCCGCAGGACAUGCUUCAGGAUACAAUGAACCUGGACGGAAUUUGAAGGGGUUUUCGCCAGUCAAAGUGUGAUUUCGUGCCUUGACCAGAUCUGGUCAAUUUUAUCAUUUUCUAUGUUUAGAUUUCCCACAUUUUUCUUUAAGUCUUUUGACUAGAACUUCUAUAUAAUGUAACCAUCAGAUCUGAAUAAGACAAUUUCGUUUUUGCUUUCAUUCUUUUGAGUUUUACUCUCUUUGUUCUUUGUUAGAACAUUUCUUAGUUUCUUGGUGAGGUUAUCUCCAAGUUUCGAUCCUUCUUUUGUUGGACCGGUGCGUCACAUCCGGCAACGAUUGAAGUCUGGUAGUAUCAUUGGGUCAUCCGCAACCCUUUGUGUCACCGUUCAUACCAUCAGUUCUCUUUCCUUACGGAUCGAGUUCAUAUCUUUCCAAUCCGGUUGAGUGUUCGUUCCUUAGGGUUCUUCAAGUGGUAUCAGAGCUCUGAAAGAAGUGGUAUCAGAGCCACUCUCUCGGUAACUCUAUUAUCAUUCCAUCUUCUCAUCUCUCCAUCUUCUUCAAACACUUCUUCUUCUACCUUUCUUAAAUCCGGGCCCCUCAUUACCAUCCAUAUAUAUAUAUAAAAAAAAAGAUUUACGAUUUGAUUCAAAAAAAAAAAAAAAAAAAAAAAAAAGAAAAAGUUCAAAGUUUGUUUUGUGGAUUGGUGGUGGAAGAGAAAGCCUGCUGGCUGAGGAGAAAUCCAGCCUUUGAGGUGGUUAAAACGGAUUUCAAAAAUCAAAAUCUCUUAUCUUUCUAUCUUGAGAAAAUUCCCUUGUUUGCUUGGAUUUGCCCAUUGGGAUUCUUUGAUUUGUUCUCUUAGAACAUUGAGUAGAAACUUGUGUGUGAUCACCUAAAUCUGAGAGAAACACUUGAGUGGGUGAGAAUAAAACACUUGAGAGAGUGAGGCUUUAUUUCCUAACUUUUGUGUUGAGAUUUUCAGGUUAUGAUGUUUGGUCUUCAAAGGAAAAGUAACAAGGAGAAGCACCCACGACUUUCUGUCUCUCAAACCUCCUUUAAAUAUGCUUUGAAUACUUUUGAUGAGUUUGUUGAUGUGCAGGAGAAACCAAACAGGUGGAGCAAAGAGCAUGUCAAUACAUCCAAAGGUGAAUCUGAUCCAAAAAGGCAACCCUUUCAAAUUGAUGUCCAACAAAUUUGUGAUAACCUUGUGAAGGGAGUGGACAAAGCCCUUAAGGACUUCAGCAAGAGCCAAAAGAAGAGCACAUCUACACGUGCCCCAGUAGCUGAGCCAUCCUUGUUCAUCAGUAAGAAAGCCCAAGGUGAAUCUGAAAACCAUUUUGAAGAACUUAAAGAUUUUUCAGAUUCUCUACCCAUUUUUGAUGAAUCUGAUGAAGAGCUAAUUGAAAGCUUGAUGUUUUGUGAAAAAUAUUGUGAUCUUCCUUCUCUUGAAACUGAGUUUAAUCUUGAUAAUGAACAAGCUAUUGUAGAACUAACUGUUUUGCAACCGGAGCUUCCGAGUAGUCUUGUUUUGUCUCCACAGGUUUUUGAGGAAGAGCCACUGGAUUUUCCACAUCAGUGCCCAUGUCUUGACACUAGGAUAUGUUUGGAUGAUGAUCUAGGUCCUAUCUUUGAUGAGGAGGACGAACCUGGUCCAGUCUUUGAUGAAGAAGCAACAACCAUCACAUCCAUUGCUAUGGAGAAUUAUCUAUGCUUUGAUCCCGGCACAACUCCUGCCCCUUUACCUUCGGAUCUUCAAGAGCACUGUGAGGAACCUUCUUCUCUUAAUUCUCUGCCUGACAUGUUUGUGAAAGUCAGUACUGAUGAUGUAAUUCGUUUUGGUCUUGACAAGAUGAAAGAUUUUUUUGUUUCAAAAUCUGUUUUUGAUAACAUGAUUAAUUCUUUAAAAAUCUUUGAACCUGAUAAAUGUCUAGAUCAAUUACGUUUUCAAAGUGUCAAUGGCAUCACUUCUGGAAUUAUUUUGAGCUUUGAUCAGUUCUUGGAACAUAACAAAGGUUUUCAUCUUCUUGGAAGGCCAUUUGAUCUUGAUUUGCAACAAACUGAUUUUUGUGCUGAAAAAUCUCUUGAUUCGUUAGUUUGCAAAAGAAAUAGCUUUGAUCUGAGUUCUUCUAGACAUGUACUGAUCACUGAUGAAUUGUUUGCAUCCUCUUAUGCCUUGGACGAAAUUUUGAUUCAGAAGUUGCUGGAACAGAAAUCACUUGAAACUGAAAAUGAUUUUCGUGAUCUUGAAAUUUGUGGUUCUGUUUUGCAGCUUGAUCUCUUGAGUUUUGAAACUGAUAAUACUUGGCAUUUUCUGAGAUCAUUUCGUGAUAAUGGUGUUGUCUUGAGUUCUGAUGAUAUUUUGGUUUACAACACAUUCUUUGAGAAAUGCCUUGAACUUUUGAUAAAUGAUUCUCAAACUGAACUUAAGCUUGUGUGUUCAGAUGUUGGGAAGGAUAUGCCCAUUUUGAAAAUGAAUACUGUUGUUGCAUAUCUUGAUAAAAUUCUUGUCUGUAAUAUUUACUUUUAUGAGCACCUUGAAAGGCUGAAAAAUGUGCAAUUUGUUCUUGGAAAAGAUAUCUUGAUUUGUGAUUUGAACAAAUAUUUAUCUUGCACAUUUGAUCCUGGUCUUUUAGUGUUUGUUUUGAGUAUCCAGGAAAGACAGGUUCAGCCUCUGAAUGAAAGCAUUGGCCGUGCCCAACAACCUCAGAUUUGGAGAAGCUUUGUUGUUCAAACCGGCUACCUUGGUGCCAGCGAUAGAGGUUCAGUCCAAGAAGGAUAUCUCAACAGUCCGAAGGUCUUUUGUCUUGAAUCCAAUUUUACAAGAAAGCCAACUCAUCAAGGAUUCACUGAGGCUUGGAAUCGCAUGAAAAGCUUCACGGAUAAAGAAGUUAUGAAUUUUCCAAACCGGAAGUUCUUCAGUACAACUAUCCGCGAGUACCAGAUUUCUAAAGGAGAUUCAUGCCCCAGAAAGAAUCGACCUGAGCCAAAAUCGAUCCUCAAUGAACCAAAGGUGUUUCCUCAGUCAACCUCCUGGCCAAAACAAAAGCACUGUAAGGAUCAUGGGUUGAUUAUCUCUGCUCAUCAUGAAAAUGUUUUGAAACCGAGAAUUUCUAAACGAAAUCACAUCUUUACUUGGUUGAAAAACGUUUUGUUUAAACCUUUCCAUGAAUUGUGUUCAUUGAGCUGUGCUUUGAAAGAGAUUUGGUUUAGGAAAAGGCAUGAACCAAAAUUGCUUAGACCAAAGAAUCAAUUUGAUUUCAUUCAUGAUAAGAAUUUUUCAGAUUUGGCAUUGUCUCUUUCUUUUCCUGACCGUUUCUCAGCUUGGCCUAAUUUUAAAAUUGAUAAACCAAUUUUUGGUGAUCAGUUUACUUGUUUGAUGCUUGCCCACGUGCUUGAUGAUUAUCCUAAGGGCUUGGAUCCUGAUCUUGGUGUCCUAAAGAUAGAGAAACCUUUUGAUUAUUUCUUUCGCAGAUUUGAUGUGGUUUCUCUAGUUAUUUUGAAUGAACAGGUUAAGCAUGAUCAGUUUCCAAGGAGAGCAAGCGCUGGAGAACGCCUAAGGACUUAUGUUCCUCAAACAUGGAACUGGAAAUACUUGAGGGAAACAAGUUCAAAACUCCAAGGAAGUUUCUGUCCAAAAUUUUCCUUCUCUGAAUUUUACAUGAUUUUAAACUUCUUUUUGUCUGAUUCAUUUUCUUUUGAUUCAGGUAAAAUUGAUUUGAGGUCAAAUCCUUUUGAAGAGGGAGGGAAUGAUGUGCCAUGGAGUAGCGCACCGGGCAAAACAGACAUGCAUGGUUUGAUCAUUGGAAGCAGUAAUGAUAUAUGUUCAUUGUUUGACUCAUAUCUUCUAAACCACGAGGCUUCUACACAUGAAAUCACUUGGAGAAUGUUCUCAACUCAAUUACGGAGCUCCUCGAAGAAGAAUCAGAUCAAACGGAGUUCAUAUGUGAUAGUUAUGCUAUUUACAAAUCAAGUGAUCUUUAGUUCUCGCGAAUUCAGACCACCCGAGAAGCUCGAAAUGGCUAACCUUCUUUCUGAUGAACCAACGGCCAAUUCAAUCAUGACAAAGGUGAUUAUUCAUGUUCUAAAUAUCCAAGAAAGCAUUGGGCUUGAUGGUUUUCAAAAAGAUUCAAAAACGAGCUUGUUUGGCCCAAAUGGAGAAACCGAUAAAAUAUUGGCUAAGGGAAAAGAUGGAUUUCGACCAGACCUCAAAGGGACAUGUCUUGGCCCAUAUCAGGAGUAUAUUCUUCACCUUUCAAAGUCCUGGUCGUGGCUAUAUGAAGAGGUAGUCUAAGUUUCAGUCAAAUACUUUAUUUAGUCAAGUCUUUGUUUCUAUUUCCAAUGUCUUGUUUUUAGCACAUUCUUCUUUGGAUCUCUACAACUUGUAAUCCUAUAAAUAAGGCCUUAGAGCAACGAAAUAAACCAGAUUGUUUUCCCCUUUUGUUGAGUUAAAACUCUUUGUUCUUUGUAGAACUUGUUCUUAGUUUCUUGGUGAGGUUAUCUCCAAGUUUCCAUCCUUCUUUUGUUGGACCGGUGCGUCACAUCCGGCAACGAUCGAAGUCUGGUAGUAUCUUUGGGCUAUUCCGCAACCCUUAGUGUCACCCCUCGAUCCAUCAGUUCUCAAUCCUCUCGGAUCUGAGUUCAUAUCAACCUUACCGAAAGAGUGAUCCUUAUUUUGGUUCUAUCAAGUGCCGUUUGCAUGGAAGAUCCGUGGUCAAUGAUGUGCCGCAGACCACGGAUCAUUACAUGGAACCAGCUCAGCAUGGAGUUCAGGACGUUCUGAACAUUUCAACCGAGGUUCAUCUUUUUCACCGUGCCAUACUUGACUUGGGUCGAGCCAGACUUAGCUUGGGUGGUGAAAAAACCAAAGACGGACAUGCAUUCUCAUCCGGCGGACCAUCCGGACAGUCCCGCAAGCGUCCUUAUCUUUAUCCCGUGCAUCCAUCUGGUUCGGAUGAAUCUAGACAUCUUGACUGGUCUUCUCCAUUUUCCGUGCCUUGACCAGAUCUAGUCUUCUCUAUUUUCCGUGCCUUGACCAGAUCUAGUCUUCUCUAUUUUCCGUGCCUUGACUUGAUCUAGUCAAAUUUAUAUUUCCUAUGCAUUGUUUUCCCACAUUUUCUUUUAUUGUCUUUGACUACAAAACACUAUAAAUAUGUAGUCCCUUUGAUGAAUAAAAUCAGUUCAUUUUGGUUGUUUAUUUCGUUUCUUCUCUGAGUGAGAGAGAGAGAGUUCUUAGCUAGUUCAUCGGUUUGAACCGGCUUGUUGAUUUGGUGGUCAGCCAAUCAUCUUUGUGUGUCGUUUGGUGGUUAGCCAACACACUACAUUCGUUCUUAGGUGGUUAGCCUUAGAUCGUGGGUAUAUCAAGAGCCAUUCCGCAUCUCUUGACGAUCCUUUCAAUCCAUCUCAGUUCCAGAAGCGCCAUUUGCUUCUCGGUUCAUAUCCAACACCCAGCUAAAGUGAUCCUUUCCGAUUUUGGUUCUAUCAAGUGGUAUCAGAGCCACUUUGGCUGGUUUGUUUUCUUUCAUCUUCUCAUCUCUCCACGUUUUUCUUUUCUUAUUUCUUGGAUCCGGGCUGUUCCUUUACUCCCUUGUGAUCGCCUAUUAUAAAAAAAAAAAAAAUCGAUAAAAAAGAAAAAAAAAAGUUUUGGCUUGAAUCACCUUCUGAAGAGAAAUCCAGGGGGAGUGGUGGAAGAGAAAUCCUGCUGGCUGAAGAGAAACCCAGCCUUUGGACAGUUAAGGCGGAUCCAUUUCAAAAAUCUCUUCAUCUUUCUUUCUCUUUUCUUUUUCCCACAAAAGUUUGUUUUGGGUUUUGAUUGCUGAAUUUUGACUGCCUAUCAUCCUUUGAACCAGUGAAAGAACUCUGAGUGACCAUUUAAAAAUCGAGAGCUAAACACUUGAGAGUGUGAGGAUUUUUAUUUUCUAACUUUGUUAAGUGUUUUCAGGAUGUUUGGACUUCUCAAGAAAUCAAAACCACAACAAGACGUCUACUUUCCUUUUAAAACUGUUUUUGAAAAGGAGCAAUUGAUUUUUGAUAAGAAACAGUUUGCUUCUAAUGAGUUUGACUUUGUGCAGAAACAAAAGAAGAGACAAAACAGGUGUGAUGAUGAGAAGUGGGCCAGAAGUCGUGAUCGUCCCUUCACCAAAGCCAAGAGAAGCAACUGUGAUGUGCCUGAUCAGAAUGAGCUUCAGAAUUAUGCCAGCUUGGAAAAGAUGUUGCAUAAGGCGAUUCAUGUUGUCCGGCAACUCAAAAAGAAGGGAAACAGCAACACUUCUUCUGCACCAAAACAACAAAGUAAUUCUUCUUCUAUUUCAAAUUCUGAUUUGAAAACUAAUGUGUUGUCUUUUGAUAAAAGCAAGGCUGUGAAAACCACAAGCAAGGCUCUUUCUACCAGGUGUUUCAAAUGCCAUAAGGUCGGUCAUUAUGCCAACAAGUGCCAAAAACAGAAAACGUUGGUGACAUUGGAGAAAGUUGAAACCGAGCCAGAAAAGGAAGACGUUUUACCAAUUUUCGAUGACUAUGCACAUGAACCAAAGGAAGGGUCAGGUGGAGAGCAAAAUUGUGGUCAUAGAGAAGGAUCUUGUUCCAUUCACAAUCCGGACCAAACUCAAGGUGAACAACGUUCUGAUUAUGGUUCUUUUGCUUAUAAUCCUUUUCCUUUUAAUGUUUCAGAUUUGAGGACAAAUCUUUUUGAAGAGGAAGGGAAUGAUGUGCCGCAGACCACGGAUCAUUACAUGGAACCAGCUCAGCAUGGAGUUCAGGACGUUCUGAACAUUUCAACCGAGGUUCAUCUUUUUCACCGUGCCAUACUUGACUUGGGUCGAGCCAGACUUAGCUUGGGUGGUGAAAAAACCAAAGACGGACAUGCAUUCUCAUCCGGCGGACCAUCCGGACAGUCCCGCAAGCGUCCUUAUCUUUAUCCCGUGCAUCCAUCUGGUUCGGAUGAAUCUAGACAUCUUGACUGGUCUUCUCCAUUUUCCGUGCCUUGACCAGAUCUAGUCUUCUCUAUUUUCCGUGCCUUGACCAGAUCUAGUCUUCUCUAUUUUCCGUGCCUUGACUUGAUCUAGUCAAAUUUAUAUUUCCUAUGCAUUGUUUUCCCACAUUUUCUUUUAUUGUCUUUGACUACAAAACACUAUAAAUAUGUAGUCCCUUUGAUGAAUAAAAUCAGUUCAUUUUGGUUGUUUAUUUCGUUUCUUCUCUGAGUGAGAGAGAGAGAGUUCUUAGCUAGUUCAUCGGUUUGAACCGGCUUGUUGAUUUGGUGGUCAGCCAAUCAUCUUUGUAUGUCGUUUGGUGGUUAGCCAACACACUACAUUCGUUCUUAGGUGGUUAGCCUUAGAUCGUGGGUAUAUCAAGAGCCAUUCCGCAUCUCUUGACGAUCCUUUCAAUCCAUCUCAGUUCCAGAAGCGCCAUUUGCUUCUCGGUUCAUAUCCAACACCCAGCUAAAGUGAUCCUUUCCGAUUUUGGUUCUAUCUAUCUUAGGGUUCUUCAGUUGGUAUCAGAGCCACUUUGGCUGGUUUGUUAUCAUUCUCUUAUCAUCUUCUCAUAUCUUCAUCAUUCUAUUUUCUUAUUGUUUUUUUGGAUCCGGGCUGUUCCUUUACUCCCUUGUGAUCGCCAGUUAUUAAAAAAAAAAAUAAGGAUCACUCUUUCGGUAAGGUUGAUAUGAACUCAGAUCCGAGAGGAUUGAGAACUGAUGGUAUUAACGGUGACACUAAGGGUUGCGGAAUAGCCCAAAGAUACUACCAGACUUCGAUCGUUGCCGGAUGUGACGCACCGGUCCAACAAAAGAAGGAUCGAAACUUGGAGAUAACGUCACCAAGAAACUAAGAAAUGUUCUAACAAAGAACAAAGAGUUUUAACUCAACAAAAGGGGAAAACAAUCUGCUUUAUUUCGUGGCUCUAAGGCCUUAUUUAUAGGAUUACAAGUUGUAGAGAUCCAAAGAAGAAUGUGCUAAAAACAAGACAUUGGAAAUAGAAACAAAGACUUGACUAAAUAAAGUCUUUGACUGAAACUUGGACUACUUCUUCAUAUAGCCACGACCAGGACUUUGAAAGGUGAAGAAUAUACUCCUGAUAUGGGCCAAGACAUGUCCCUUUGAGGUCUGGUCGAAAUCCAUCUUUUCCCUUAGCCAAUAUUUUAUCGGUUUCUCCAUUUGGGCCAAACAAGCUCGUUUUUGAAUCUUUUUGAAAACCAUCAAGCCCAAUGCUUUCUUGGACAUUUAGAACAUGAAUAAUCACCUUUGUCAUGAUUGAAUUGGCUGUUGGUUCAUCAGAAAGAAGGUUAGCCAUUUCGAGCUUCUCGGGUGGUCUGAAUUCGCAAGAACUAAAGAUCACUUGAUUUGUAAAUAGCAUAACUAUCACAUAUGAACUCCGUUUGAUCUGAUUCUUCUUCGAGGAGCUCCGUAAUUGAGUUGAUAACAUUCUACAAGUGAUUUCAUGUGUAGAAGCCUCGUGGUUUAGAAGAUAUGAGUCAAACAAUGAACAUAUAUCAUUACUGCUUCCAAUGAUCAAACCAUGCAUGUCUGUUUUGCCCGGUGCGCUACUCCAUGGCACAUCAUUCUCUCCCUCUUCAAAAGGAUUUGACCUCAAAUCAAUUUUACCUGAAUCAAAAUAAAAUGAAUCAGACAAAAAGAAUUUUAAAAUCAUGUAAAAUUCAGAGAAGGAAAAUUUUGGACAGAAACUUCCUUGGAGUUUUGAACUUGUUUCCCUCAAGUAUUUCCAGUUCCAUGUUCGAAGAACAUAAGUCCUUAGGCGUUCUCCAGCGCUUGCUCUCCUUGGAAACUGAUCAUGCUUAACCUGUUCAUUCAAAAUAACUCGAGAAACCACAUCAAAUCUGCGAAAGAAAUAAUCAAAGGGUUUCUCUAUCUUUAGGACAUCAAGAUCAGGAUCUAAGCCCUUAGGAUAAUCAUCAAGCACGUGGGCAAGCAUCAAACAAGUAAACUGAUCACCAAAAAUUGGUUUAUCAAUUUUAAAAUUAGGCCAAGCUGAUCACCAAGCCGUUUGCCUUCUCGGAUCAUAUCCAACACCCAGCUAAAGUGAUCCUCCCUAUCUUAGGGUUCUUCAGUUGGUAUCAGAGCCACUUUGGCUGGUUUGUUUUCAUUUCAUCUUUUCAUCUUCUCAUCUCUCCACGAUUUUAUUUUCUUAUUUCUUGUUGGAUCCGGGCUGUUCCUUUACUCCCUUGUGAUCGCCAGUUAUUAAAAAAAAAAAAGAGAAAAAAAAAUUGAUCAAAAAAAAAAAAGAGUGAAAGUUUUGGCUUGAAUCACUUCUGAAGAGAAAUCCAGGGGGAGUGGUGGAAGAGAAACCCUGCUGGCUGAAGAGAAACCCAGCCUUAGGACAGUUAAGGCGGAUCCACACAAAAAUCUCUUCAUUGUUCUUUCUCUUUUCUUUUCCCACAAAGUUUGUUUUGGGUUUUGACUCCUGAUUUUUUACUGCCUAUCAUCCUUUGAACCAGUGAAAGAACUCUGAGUGACCAUCUAAAAAUCGUGAGCUAAACACUUGAGAGUGUGAGGAUUUUUAUUUGCUAACUUUUUUAAGUGUUUUCAGGAUGUUUGGACUUCUCAAGAAAUCAAAACCACAACAAGACGUCUACUUUCCUUUUAAAACUGUUUUCGAAAAGGAGCAAUUGAUUUUUGAUAAGAAACAGUUUGAUUCUAAUGGGUUUGACUUUGUGCAGAAACAAAAGAAGGGACAAAACAGGUGCGAUGAU
This 17578-nucleotide long non-coding RNA is filed under the name Brassica rapa (field mustard). RNAcentral's name for it is "long non-coding RNA (BRAP_LNC008297)". The record is from RNAcentral. Lineage: Eukaryota; Viridiplantae; Streptophyta; Magnoliopsida; Brassicales; Brassicaceae.